AUUGAACGCUGGCGGAAUGCUUUACACAUGCAAGUCGAACGGUAGAGGGGGCAACCCCUCGAGAGUGGCGAACGGGUGAGUAAUAUAUCGGAACGUGCCCAGUCGUGGGGGAUAACGUAGCGAAAGUUACGCUAAUACCGCAUACGAUCUAAGGAUGAAAGCGGGGGAUCGCAAGACCUCGCGCGAUUGGAGCGGCCGAUAUCAUAUUAGGUAGUUGGUGGGGUAAAGGCGCACCAGGCCAACGACCUGUAGCUGUUCUGAGAGGACGACACGCCACACUGGAACUGAGACACGGUCCAGACACAUACGGGAGGCAGCAGUGGGUAAUUUUGGACAAUGGACGCAAGUCUGAUCCAGCCAUUCCGCGUGCAGGAUGAAGGCCCUCGGGUUGUAAGCUGCUUUUGUACGGAACGAAAAGGUCUCUCUUAAUACGGGGGGCUCAUGACGGUACCGUAAGAAUAAGCACCGGCUAACUACGUGCCAGCCGCCGCGGUAA
RNAcentral lists this ribosomal RNA (496 nucleotides) under uncultured bacterium. RNAcentral's name for it is "partial 16S ribosomal RNA". It matches the Rfam family "Bacterial small subunit ribosomal RNA", at positions 30 to 523 of the family's 1533-position model. The record is from RNAcentral.